GAAGUAUGGCAUUUCCAUCUGGCUUACCCACACCAAGAUGCAAACUGGAUUGAUCAAAAACAGUACCUAACAACUGAUGCUCCAUCUCUAUAUCAGAGUUUAGGAAAGGAGGUUGGAUAAAGUCAAGGAACUCGUCAAUAUACGUUUUUUCUAUGUAAUUUUCAUUAGAAAAAUUGAGGUUCAGUACUAAAUCAUGAGCGUCUAAAAAAACAGUAACCAAAUUAUCGGUGAGUAAAGCACAAGAACCAUGAUACAAAGUAGGGAGGUUAGAUUUAUCAAAAGUACCAAUAGAUAUGAACGAAGAGUCAAUAAUAUCUGAAUAAUUUCCUUCAGAACAUUUUUGAUCCACAACGUCCCAAUUUAAUAGUUGAAAAUUGUCAUAAGCAACAUAGAUUUGAUCUAAAUCGGGAAAUGAGUACAAAGUUUCAACUUGAGCACCAUCAGAUGGCAAGUAGCUUAGACUAUAAAAGUCGAUUAAUAACUGAUAACACACUGAUAACUUACAGAUUAUAAGAUUCAUCCAAGGCACACAAUGAGCCAUCUAAACUCAUAAAAAUAAAUAAGCCUGAUGAACCAGAAGAUAAUGAUUUCUUUGCAUGAAUAAUUUUAGUAAUUGAAGAAGAUUGCAAAGCACGCUCGCAGAGAAAUCUCCAUCUUUCACCCUGAAGUUGUUGAUAAAAGUAAGCCUUUCCAGUUUUGGUAGCAACAACUAAAAUUGAGCGUGAAUGUUCAGUUUCAAAUAUUUUCAUAUAUGUUACAAUUCCAGAAACCCUUGUAAAAGAGUAAAGAGGAGCUGGAUCAUUGUGAAGGUACCAGUCAAACAAAGAAAACAUCACUAAACCAGAGGUUGUUCCAAGGAAUAAAUUAAGAGAGUCCGUAUAAGCGUAGGAAACAGCAGCUGUAUUGCUCAACUUACAAAGAUUGCAUGAGUCUACGGUUCCUUCUGUUAACCAAUUGAAAGUUAUUUUUUCGGGAUAAACACACAAACUAACGGGUUUACUUUUUAAAAUGGUGCACGAUUUCCAUGGAAAAUCUCCAGAAUACUUAGAAAUUAAUUCGAAAUGAGGUUCAGGAGAUUGAUGAAGUUUGAGUAAAGUUGAAGACGAAAGAGUAAAAAUACAAGCCGUGCCAUCAGCCAAAACAAAUACAGAUGUUAUCUCUGCAAGUGAAUAUGAAGCUAUAAAUUUCUCAUGCGAUUCCAAUAGUACUACCGCAUCCGAGUAUACAUAUAGCGCAUAAUUGGAAGAAAUGCAAUCUGCUGGUACAACAUCAAUAACCUUACCAAAAGUUGGUUUAACAUCUGCUUUUGUAACUGAAUUUCUUUUAAAAGUAAGAGCUGACCAAUCAACUGACCAAAGAGAUACAGAUCCAUCUGAAUAGGCGACAGGGAUUAAUAAAGCUUCGUCUUUGAACGGAAACAAAAUAGGCCAGUCCUCAUGACCAGUCCAAGUCGCAACUAUCUGAAAGUUGGAGAUUCUAAUGAGAUAUAUUUUCA
Schizosaccharomyces pombe (fission yeast) is the source of this 1495-nucleotide non-coding RNA. NCBI's taxonomy places the organism in Eukaryota, Fungi, Ascomycota, Schizosaccharomycetes, Schizosaccharomycetales, Schizosaccharomycetaceae. The record is from the annotation of a GenBank genome assembly.